GCACCAUUUGGAGCUUCGGAGUCGAAUGGCCAAUACUCUGUUAAAUCUUUUUAUAAGAUGAUUAACUUUGGUGGGAUUUCUUCUGAUAUUAAAGAUUUCAUCUGGAAGAUUAAAGUGCCUCCAAAUAUCCACGUCUUCUUGUGGCCGAUGUGUAAUAAUAAAAGCUUGACUAGGGAUAAUCUUGGCAAAAGAAGACAUGUAGAAGAUAAAACAUGUGUUUUUUGUGCUGAAUCAGAAUCAAUUCAACACUUGAUGUUUGAUUGCAUCGUUGCGACUAAAGUGUGGGAUGUGAUUGCUGAAGCUUUUAAAAUAAUCCCUCCAGCGUCUUUUUAAUCUUUAUCUUCCUUUUGGAAGAAGAAAAAUCAAUGUGAAGCUAUUAAUACUUCCACAUCUGCUACCUUAUGGUGCUUAUGGCAUUUGCGCAAUGAUUUUGUCUUUCAGGGGAGAAGAUGGCAAGGUAUUUGUUGUGUGUUCAACCAGGUGGGGACAACAAUCAGGCAGUGGAAAAUCUUAUGUUCAGAGGUCCAGGGUGUUCUUCUUCUCCAGUGCUUAAGGCUUUUGGAUCAGCAAAGAGGGGAACUGCUUAGAAUCGCCUGGACUAGCUGA
This 606-nucleotide ribosomal RNA is filed under the name Triticum aestivum (bread wheat). RNAcentral describes it as "partial small subunit ribosomal RNA". Lineage: Eukaryota; Viridiplantae; Streptophyta; Magnoliopsida; Poales; Poaceae. The record is from RNAcentral.